Molecule: long non-coding RNA, 1925 nt
Organism: Cyprinus carpio carpio
Lineage: Eukaryota; Metazoa; Chordata; Actinopteri; Cypriniformes; Cyprinidae
Source: Ensembl
GUGUGUGUGUGUGUUUGGAUAUGCAUGUGCAUGUGCGCGUGUGUGUGUGUGUUCCUGGGCACUGUUGCUAAACCUUUGGCAAUCUUGUGCCAGUCUUGGACGUGAUGUGUGUUUGUCUGUCUGCUCUCUUCUCAGUCAAGGUCUCACCCAGGCAGCCAUUGAGGCUUUGCAUACACACACACACACACACACACACACACACACACACACACACACACACACACACACACACACACACACACACACAGACAGACUUGUCAUCACAGACACAGGCACAAGGAUUCUGACGCUUUCAGCAUGACUGCCUUACUUUCUGAGUUGUUUUUAUUACCUUAAUCUAUUCCUGUGCCACAACCAGGGGCUUGUGGGAGAUAUGGGGGCAUAAUAACAAGAAACCUAAAAUACAUGUUUGAAACAUCUCGCUUCUGUUGUUUCUCUCUGAGAACGUUCAGGCCGAAAGCACAGAAGAUGCCUUGCUAGCAGUUUUAUUCUGCAGCGUUCCACUUCACAGAAUCUACAAAGACAACAAAAAACGAAAGGAGAGCUAGUUAAUCUGAGCCGUUACAUGGCUGGAUUUGACAGGCCGUUUGCUGAACGGGGCCAAAGCACAACUCUCUGUAGAGGCGUUCGGCCUCAGCAAUGUUCAGAAAGUGUGUCAUUGUGAACAGGUGCUCACACAGAUGUACAAAGACAACCGAACACAAACAAACACUGUGCUGUUACGCCUGGCCACUUUAUCAGACGAAUAUCCUUCACAAGAGCUCAUUGAUUCUUUGAUUGAGGAUAACAGAUGGAGCAAUUAUUCUACCUAAGGGAACAGCUCCACAUGGAGCAACAGAAAAAAAGGUGGAUCCUGUUAACCAAAGGGGAAGGUGCUAGUGGGCUUCCCACAGCAGGUGCCCUUGUUCCAGGCUGUGAUGAGUGCCAGCUGCUGACAGAGGGCCGUCCACCAGCGGAAGAUGGUCCUUUCCUCCCUGUUCCUCCACUCUAUUCAUGAGCAACUUGACCACAAGAUCUGUCAAUCAGCCUCAGUGUGGGUGUAUAAAAAUACUAACGUGGCUGCUCAUUGGAUAGUCUUGCAGCAGAUAAAAGACUUUGGUUUAUUAAAACUGUCAAUAGCAUUCUCCUGAAGAAUGCUUUGAGAAGACUGAUAUUUAUUUGAGGAAUUACUCUACACUUGAGUGAUGACUGAUGAACUGUUGAGGAGGGCUUUGAGUCUGGUUGUAUUCUGAUAUGAAAAAAUAUCCCUUUUUUAAUUUGGCCUUUUUGCUGAUUUCAUUUCAUGCAACAAUACCUAGAGGGUAGGAAUGAUUGGGAAAAUAGAGGUUAAGAGCGAGCUGUCUGCAUAAGCAAUAUGGCUCAAUGUUUCAGAACUUCUGUGCCAACAACCCUACAGUUAAUAAGGAUGAUGAGUAAAUAAAUAAAUACAUAGGUUCCAUUAAAGUGUGAAACAGCAACAUAAAUGCAUAAACAGUACACAUACUGCUUUGCAUGGCUAUGGUAAAUAAAAGAAAAAAAUAACAUUUACUAUUGUGAUUGAAGAAUUUAUUUAUGAAAGUGUGAUUAAAGCAAAUAAGUGAAACUUUGCUGAAGGUUAACAUAUUAUUGAUGAUGAUUUCCAUUUCUUUCCACAAGUUAGAUGUAACAAGAAUAACAGGAAAUGUACUGAAUUGCAAUUCAAAUCAAUUAAAAAAAAAAGGGUAAUUUAUGUUACUUAUAUAGGUGGCAUACAUUUUGAUUAUUAGCAUAAUUUAGUAAAUAAAACAAAUAAUACAAACACACACACACACACACACACACAAAUGGAAAGGAACUGAAAAUAAAGUUUUUAAAAUCAAAAAUGUAUUUGUAAAAUAACAAUAAUAAUAAUAAAUUAUAUUAAAUAAAUUACAUUUAAAUUAUUUACAUAUGUUCUCAUGACCUAA